GUCCUGGCCUUAAACGAUGGAUGCUUGGUGUCUGGGGUUUUAUAGUCCCCGGGUGCCGUAGCUAACGCGUUAAGCAUCCCGCCUGGGGAGUACGGUCGCAAGACUGAAACUCAAAGGAAUUGACGGGGACCCGCACAAGCGGUGGAGCAUGUGGUUCAAUUCGACGCAACGCGAAGAACCUUACCAGGGCUAGAAUGCCUCUGACAACCCCAGAGAUGGGGCUUCUUAGGGAAACCUAGGCAGAGUGCAAGGUGCUGCAUGGCUGUCGU
Molecule: ribosomal RNA, 269 nt
Filed under: uncultured bacterium
Lineage: Bacteria
Description: partial 16S ribosomal RNA
Rfam family: Bacterial small subunit ribosomal RNA
Source: RNAcentral